This 217-nucleotide ribosomal RNA is filed under the name Alexandrium margalefii. RNAcentral describes it as "partial Bacterial small subunit ribosomal RNA". It matches the Rfam family "Bacterial small subunit ribosomal RNA", at positions 1177 to 1393 of the family's 1533-position model. The record is from RNAcentral. Lineage: Eukaryota; Dinophyceae; Gonyaulacales; Pyrocystaceae.
GGAUGACGUCAAGUCCUCAUGGCCUUUAUGCCCAGGGAUGCAAACGUGCUACAAUGGUACGGACAAAGCGAUGCAAUACCGCGAGGUGGAGCAAAUCGCAAAAACCGUGCCCCAGUUCGGAUAGCAGGCUGAAAUUCGCCUGCUUGAAGCCGGAAUCGCUAGUAAUCGUGGGUCAGCAUACCACGGUGAAUAUGUUCCUGAGCCUUGUACACACCGC